This 93-nucleotide transfer RNA is filed under the name bacterium. RNAcentral describes it as "tRNA-Ile". It matches the Rfam family "tRNA". From Rfam's summary of the family: Transfer RNA (tRNA) molecules are approximately 80 nucleotides in length. The record is from RNAcentral.
CCACGGGUAGCAUAGCGGCCAAUGCAGCAGGCCUAUAACCUGCGUUAGCUCCGGACUGGGGCGAGAUCGUGGGUUCGAGUCCCACCCCGUGGA